AAAACCUACGGGACGCAGCAGUGAGGAAUAUUGGUCAAUGGGCUUACGCCUGAACCAGCCAAGUCGCGUGAGGGAAGACUGCCCUAUGGGUUGUAAACCUCUUUUGUCAGGGAGCAACGCCGGCUACGUGUAGCCGGACUGAGAGUACCUGAAGAAAAAGCAUCGGCUAAUUCCGUGCCAGCAGCCGCGGUAAUACGGAGGAUGCGCGCGUUAUCCGGAUUUAUUGGGUUUAAAGGGUGCGUAGGCGGAAUGCCAAGUC
Molecule: ribosomal RNA, 259 nt
Filed under: uncultured bacterium
Lineage: Bacteria
Description: partial 16S ribosomal RNA
Rfam family: Bacterial small subunit ribosomal RNA
Source: RNAcentral